Non-coding RNA from Gorilla gorilla gorilla (western lowland gorilla), 148 nucleotides. It matches the Rfam family "Metazoan signal recognition particle RNA". Rfam says of the family: The signal recognition particle (SRP) is a universally conserved ribonucleoprotein. It is involved in the co-translational targeting of proteins to membranes. Lineage: Eukaryota; Metazoa; Chordata; Mammalia; Primates; Hominidae. The record is from Rfam.
GCCGGGCGUGGUGGCACGUGCCUGUAAUCCCAGCUACUCAGGAGGCUGAGGCAGAAGAAUCGCUUGAACCCAGGAGGUGAAGGUUGCAGUGAGCAGAGAUCAUGCCACUGCUCUCCAGCCUGAGUGACAGAGUGAGAUUCUGUCUCAA